GGAGAGGUGUCCGAGCGGUUUAUGGAGCUGGUCUUGAAAACCAGUGAUACUGAAUAAGUACCGAGGGUUCGAAUCCCUCCCUCUCCG
This 87-nucleotide transfer RNA is filed under the name Ruminococcus sp. RNAcentral's name for it is "tRNA-Ser". It matches the Rfam family "tRNA". From Rfam's summary of the family: Transfer RNA (tRNA) molecules are approximately 80 nucleotides in length. Their secondary structure includes four short double-helical elements and three loops (D, anti-codon, and T loops). The record is from RNAcentral. Lineage: Bacteria; Bacillati; Bacillota; Clostridia; Eubacteriales; Oscillospiraceae.